RNAcentral lists this long non-coding RNA (975 nucleotides) under Homo sapiens (human). Its description in RNAcentral is "WWTR1 antisense RNA 1". The record is from RNAcentral. Lineage: Eukaryota; Metazoa; Chordata; Mammalia; Primates; Hominidae.
AGCUGCAGGGACGCGGGCGACGAGUGCGAGCGGACAUGCUGGGCACCCCCAGCCAGUCGAGGCCCCGGGUGGCCGCCCGACGAGUCGGUGCUGGACUGGCGCGAGUGCGAGCCCGAAUCAGGCUCCUUAAAGAAAGACUCCGGCAGGAUCUUCUUCCGCCACGAGCUAGGCUUCGGAUUCAUGACAGAGUUGAAGAGGGCUUCGAGGUCUGUGUCUAGGUCCUGCGUGACGUGGAUCACUUGCUGCCCAGGCGGCGGGAGCGGAGGGGGCGCCGAGGCCGGAUUCAUCUUCUGCAAAAAGAAGGACAGGCAGCCCCCCGAAAGAAGUUCAGCCCGAGCCAACUCCACCACGUCUCGACUCCGGAAGCCCGAGGAGCCUGGAGCCCUGGAGUGGUGCCGGAUGAGCGCGCGAGCUCCAGCGGGCACUACCUGGGCGGGCAGCGAAGCUGAGCCUGAGCGCGCGGCGGCCGCCGUCCCGCCCGAACUUGCCGUCGGGCCUGGGUCGCUCGGGUGAGUCCCGAGAUUGCGGAGCUGGAGCCGAGGCUUGGCUGACAAAUCCCGACCCGACUCUGUGCCUGGCAGUCUAAGGGCUUCGGCUCUCACAUCCCCCGAGCUGGCCUAAGGCGCUAGUGCUGGGCGAAAAGGAGGCGCAGGAGAAGCAGACAGCGCGGCCGCAGCAGCUCCCGGACUGUCCCAUAAACAAAGUUUGGAGCAAACUCCCACCCCCAGGAAAGAGGCGGGCCCGAAAGUUGAGCUGUUGAAUUAUGUAUGACCUCCUAGUCCCUAGCCGGCCAGCCCCCGCUCGCCCCUCCUCUUCCUCCUCCUCCUCCUCCCACCUCGGCUCCAGAAAACCCUGGGCGUGAUGGGUACUUUACUGGGUAAGAGGAGACGGGUGCCCCCCACCCACUCCUCCCGGCCGCGCGGACCUCUCCCGCUCAGACCUGCAUCUGCAUUCCUUUGAGUUUACCACGGACUU